Molecule: ribosomal RNA, 1339 nt
Filed under: Enterococcus durans
Lineage: Bacteria; Bacillati; Bacillota; Bacilli; Lactobacillales; Enterococcaceae
Description: bacterial SSU rRNA
Rfam family: Bacterial small subunit ribosomal RNA
Source: RNAcentral
GCUUGCUCCACCGGAAAAAGAAGAGUGGCGAACGGGUGAGUAACACGUGGGUAACCUGCCCAUCAGAAGGGGAUAACACUUGGAAACAGGUGCUAAUACCGUAUAACAAUCGAAACCGCAUGGUUUUGAUUUGAAAGGCGCUUUCGGGUGUCGCUGAUGGAUGGACCCGCGGUGCAUUAGCUAGUUGGUGAGGUAACGGCUCACCAAGGCCACGAUGCAUAGCCGACCUGAGAGGGUGAUCGGCCACAUUGGGACUGAGACACGGCCCAAACUCCUACGGGAGGCAGCAGUAGGGAAUCUUCGGCAAUGGACGAAAGUCUGACCGAGCAACGCCGCGUGAGUGAAGAAGGUUUUCGGAUCGUAAAACUCUGUUGUUAGAGAAGAACAAGGAUGAGAGUAACUGUUCAUCCCUUGACGGUAUCUAACCAGAAAGCCACGGCUAACUACGUGCCAGCAGCCGCGGUAAUACGUAGGUGGCAAGCGUUGUCCGGAUUUAUUGGGCGUAAAGCGAGCGCAGGCGGUUUCUUAAGUCUGAUGUGAAAGCCCCCGGCUCAACCGGGGAGGGUCAUUGGAAACUGGGAGACUUGAGUGCAGAAGAGGAGAGUGGAAUUCCAUGUGUAGCGGUGAAAUGCGUAGAUAUAUGGAGGAACACCAGUGGCGAAGGCGGCUCUCUGGUCUGUAACUGACGCUGAGGCUCGAAAGCGUGGGGAGCAAACAGGAUUAGAUACCCUGGUAGUCCACGCCGUAAACGAUGAGUGCUAAGUGUUGGAGGGUUUCCGCCCUUCAGUGCUGCAGCUAACGCAUUAAGCACUCCGCCUGGGGAGUACGACCGCAAGGUUGAAACUCAAAGGAAUUGACGGGGGCCCGCACAAGCGGUGGAGCAUGUGGUUUAAUUCGAAGCAACGCGAAGAACCUUACCAGGUCUUGACAUCCUUUGACCACUCUAGAGAUAGAGCUUCCCCUUCGGGGGCAAAGUGACAGGUGGUGCAUGGUUGUCGUCAGCUCGUGUCGUGAGAUGUUGGGUUAAGUCCCGCAACGAGCGCAACCCUUAUUGUUAGUUGCCAUCAUUUAGUUGGGCACUCUAGCAAGACUGCCGGUGACAAACCGGAGGAAGGUGGGGAUGACGUCAAAUCAUCAUGCCCCUUAUGACCUGGGCUACACACGUGCUACAAUGGGAAGUACAACGAGUCGCGAAGUCGCGAGGCUAAGCUAAUCUCUUAAAGCUUCUCUCAGUUCGGAUUGUAGGCUGCAACUCGCCUACAUGAAGCCGGAAUCGCUAGUAAUCGCGGAUCAGCACGCCGCGGUGAAUACGUUCCCGGGCCUUGUACACACCGCCCGU